UACGAAGGGUGCAAGCGUUGUUCGGAAUUACUGGGCGUAAAGGGUGUGUAGGCGGUUGCGUAAGAUAGCGGUGAAAUACCGGGGCUCAACUCCGGAACUGCCGUUACAACUAUGUGACUAGAAUGACAGAGAGGAUAUUGGAAUACCCAGUGUAGAGGUGAAGUUCGUAGAUAUUGGGUAGAACACCGGUGGCGAAGGCGAGUAUCUGGCUGUAAAUUGACGCUGAGGCACGAAAGCAUGGGGAUCAAAC
Molecule: ribosomal RNA, 250 nt
Filed under: uncultured prokaryote
Description: partial 16S ribosomal RNA
Rfam family: Bacterial small subunit ribosomal RNA
Source: RNAcentral